CCCACCGGGCCGACGGCACUCCACUUUAUGUCCCGGCCCGGCAAAUGAAAAGGAGGAAUACCCGCCCUGACCGGCGGUGCGGCAGUGUGGAGACCUGCCGUAACGUGCGCGAAGCCGCACAAGGCUGUUCCAUGCGGAGGCAGGACAGCCACGGUCAAAACGAAAUGGCA
Molecule: non-coding RNA, 170 nt
Submitted as: unclassified sequences
Source: Rfam